RNAcentral lists this ribosomal RNA (253 nucleotides) under uncultured bacterium. RNAcentral describes it as "partial 16S ribosomal RNA". It matches the Rfam family "Bacterial small subunit ribosomal RNA", at positions 524 to 776 of the family's 1533-position model. The record is from RNAcentral.
UACGAAGGGGGCUAGCGUUGCUCGGAAUCACUGGGCGUAAAGCGCACGUAGGCGGAUCUUUAAGUCAGGGGUGAAAUCCCGGGGCUCAACCCCGGAACUGCCUUUGAUACUGGGUAUCUCGAGUCCGAGAGAGGUGAGUGGAAUUCCGAGUGUAGAGGUGAAAUUCGUAGAUAUUCGGAGGAACACCAGUGGCGAAGGCGGCUCACUGGCUCGGUACUGACGCUGAGGUGCGAAAGCGUGGGGAGCAAACAGG